Molecule: ribosomal RNA, 337 nt
Filed under: uncultured bacterium
Lineage: Bacteria
Description: partial 16S ribosomal RNA
Rfam family: Bacterial small subunit ribosomal RNA
Source: RNAcentral
CCUAUGGGAGGCAGCAGUGGGGAAUAUUGCGCAAUGGGCGAAAGCCUGACGCAGCGACGCCGCGUGAGGGAUGAAGGUCUUCGGAUCGUAAACCUCUGUCAGCAGGGAAGAACGGUCACUGUGCUAAUCAGCAGUGAAUUGACGGUACCUGCAAAGGAAGCAUCGGCUAACUCCGUGCCAGCAGCUGCGGUAAUACGGAGGGUGCGUGCGUUAAUCGGAAUUACUGGGCGUAAAGCGCUCGUAGGCUGUAUGUCAAGGCAAGGGUGAAAUCCCCGCGCUCAACGUGGGAACUGCCAUUGAGACUGGCGAACUGGAGUGUGUGAGAGGAUGGUGGAAU